CCGCUUCAACAGAGAAGUAGACGAUUGCGUCUGGGAGGUUAUUAGUAAACCUGUUCCAGAGCCUCUCAACGAGCGCGCCUGGAUGAGUUUCCCAGGAUCCGUAUUCGUGACUUUCUGUGGCCGGAGGACCAUCUUCCCCAAGGGCAAAGCAGGCUGGGAUCGCUGCAGAGUUAACUUCCGAUUUCCCAGGAUACAGGCAAGAAAAAGGCACAAACAGAACAUUCUUUUCCCGCCGGGUCCUCAAACCACCAGCUGCCAAACGAUGUCCCUCCUCCCGCAUUAAGACACAUUUUGGUGUCUGAGCAGCUGAUGAGUUUUAAACCAUGUGGACGACUGCUCUCAAAGAAGGCUGCAUCUGUUUGGAGCCUCGUGGCUUUUUAAUUCAUUAACUAUGCAGGACUCGGAUAUGACCUUGCCCGCUGACCUCCCUCCUAGUCACUUCCAUGCACGCCCAGGAACCUGCCCUUGGGCUCUGGCUCUAGGACUCCAUAGCUUAUCCUUUCCCAAAGCCUUCAUCCCGUAGAGAAUUUUCAAUUACGGAAUUACGGAAACCAAAUUGGAGAACAAGCAGGGGAGCCUGCGAAUGAUACGUCCCAGGAAGAUGGCAGGGUGACCCCAGGACUGCCUUCCUUGGACGCUCCGAGGAAAUUUUGAAAGCGGCAGAAC
Molecule: long non-coding RNA, 666 nt
Organism: Lynx canadensis (Canada lynx)
Lineage: Eukaryota; Metazoa; Chordata; Mammalia; Carnivora; Felidae
Exons: 5
Source: RefSeq, a predicted model, not a curated record